Molecule: long non-coding RNA, 8662 nt
Filed under: Marmota monax (woodchuck)
Lineage: Eukaryota; Metazoa; Chordata; Mammalia; Rodentia; Sciuridae
Source: RNAcentral
GAUGUAGUUCAGUGGCAGAAUGCUUGCCUAGCAAGUGUGACACCCUGGGUUUGACCGCCAGCACUGCAAAGAAAAACAAAACAGUUGUGCAAGACAUUUAGGUAAAAGAUUGCUGGACUUUCUCCCUAAUAUAUUCAAUGGUUAAGCAAUUCUUCUGGCUCCCUUGAGAGACCUGCUGACCAAUGAGGCACAGUGUAUUAGUGGGAACAAGAACAUCUGGAAGGUGGUAAGAAGCAUUUGACUGCACACUCUCCCUGGAUCUGGAUUUCUCCAAGUCAUCACACUUAAAGCAGAAGGGAAAUGGCUGAGCUGAAGGUAAGAAAUCAUCUGGCUGGGGCUGGGGCUGAGGUAUAGCUCAGAGGUAUGCUCAAUGCCCUGGGUUCCAUCCCCAGCACCAAAAGAAACCACCUAGCAAGUUUGCAGUGGCUUCUUUAGCCAGAAUUGAUAGAAGUUUCUGAAAACUCCAGUGAUCAAAAUCCUUGUGUUAGGGACUGGGGUUGUGGCUCAGCAGUAGAGCACUUGCCUACUGCAGAGGCAAGGCCCUGGGUUCAAUCCUCAGCACCACAUAAAAAUAAAUAAAAUAAAGGUUUUGCAUCCAACUACAAGUAAAAAAUAAAUAUUAAGAAAAAACUGUGUUCAGAGGCUUCACAGAAAUGUCUAUGCAGAUAACGGGGGAGACAAGGGAGAAUUGAUAAAGGAAAGCAAUACUGACCACCUCUUGUCUUUUUUUCAUUUCAAAUAUGGUCUUGGACAUGUAGGCAUUUCCUAAGGCUCUCCUCCACCAUGGACACACUUUUCACUGAGUCUGUUUCUCACCCCAGGGUCUCUGACCUGUUCCUGUAGCUACAGCUUCCUGCACUGCUUCCAGCAACCAAUCAGAUAUGCUUAAUAUGAUAAGUUAUCUUGAUACUCAGAAUCAGCUUUGACCAGUAUCUAGCACUUCCCCUAGGAAAUAAUUCUUUCCAAUUAAUGUGCAUUAGAAAAGCAUGAGUGGGUUAUGUAUUCUUAGGUGCUAUGUAUUUAACUAUGAAUUAACUUAUAUUGUAAUCCUCAAAAGAAUCCUGGUGUCUAGAUGCUCUUGUUUCCAUUUGACCAAUAACAAAAGUGAAGCUCAGAGCUAAAUAACUUGCUCAAGAUUGUUGCCGGGAGGUGAUAGAGACUGGAUUAGUACUUAGGUUUUGUCUGAAUCCAAAUCCCAGACUCAGAAAAAAAGUCUUGGUGGCUUCUCCUAAACUGGGGCCUUCAGGCCAGGGAAAGGAAAAUAUCCCCCAGUAUCUACAAUCAUGUCUAAUGCCUAGCCCAGGCUGACAUCAGGGCCUGAUGCAAGUAGAGCUAAACAGAACUGCCCUGAACCUUGGCUCAAACUGAGUGGGACAGACCCCCUCCCAGAAUGCAGGGUUUAAGCAUUGCCCUAAUGCCCUUUAACCUAUGCUGAGUUUGAAGAACCUAACAUCUCUCUAAUUAAUAGGGAUCCUAAACACACUCAACACCAGAAUAAGAGUUUAUUUUAUGCCCGACUGAGAGUUUACUCUCAUUCUUUCAUUCAGCAAAUAGUAUGUGCUAGUGUGUGAUGCUGCAGAUUAAUCUAGGGUAGGAAGUAAGUCCAAUUUAGGUAGAGUCAAGAGGAACUUUCUAAAGGAGACUAUUCUUAGGUUGAGUCUUGGGAAAAAAGUAGGCAUUGGUGAAGUAAAAAAUGAUGGGGCCAGAGGAAACAGCAUCUGCAAAGACACAAAAUAUGCAGAGUUCUGCAAGUUCUGGAGUCCCAGUGAUCCAGCUUAACUGGAGUUGCUGGAGAUCCAGCCAAAUGGAAAUACCUGGGAGGUGGUUGGAUGUAUGGAUCCGGAACUCAGGGCAGUGGGCAGGGGUAAGGGGAAUAGAUAUGUGAUCAUCAUGUCAAUGGUGGCUGCUUGGUCACGGAGAAGGGAGAAAACAUAGAAACUUUGUUUUCUGAUGAAAAUCCUACAAGGAACUUCAGCAGGGCUGGAAACAUCCUUACCAUUUAUAAAUAAAUUAUACCUAAAAUCUUAUCCUUCUGUAAUUUUUAAGCAAUUUAUUAUGCACAGCACCAGCACACCAAUGCAAAUUGCAUGCUGGUCUUUGUUCUCAAGUUCAAAGGCAUUCUCAGCCUGCUGUCUAAUCUCCAGAAGAAAAGGUUAGCUGCAGAGGUCAGAAAUCUAAAUGCAGAAAGUCAGAUUGCAUCAUGCACAUUCUAAUCAAUAAGCAUUACAUAACUUUAGAAAGGUUUCUCGUCUUUUUUUUUCCUUCAUUUUAAUGGAUAUAUCAACAUAAAACCUCAAAUGAAAUCACAUCUCCAUUAAAGCACAGCUAGGGGAAGAAAAGUAAAAAGAUAAAAUAAUAAAAUUAAAUCUAAAAGUGAACUGUCCCACAGUCUUAAGUUGCUUCAUUCUCCAGGCUUUGGAUUCUUCAUUUCUAAAAUGAAGAAGUGAUUUUACAUGCAGACAUUGGAGCCCAUCACCGAUACUUGAUUCCCUAGCUUUGAAUUUAUAUUGAUCACAUUUCUGAAAAGACUUGUAAUGAUUAGCUAGAGAGGGGACACAUUGGCUUACAUAAUUAGUUUCCUUUUGCUGCAGUCAUAAGUUACCACAGUAUUAUGGCUUAAAACAGCUCAAAUUUAUUCUCUUACAGUUCUGGAGGUCAGAAUGUCACCAGCUCAGCAGGUCAAUCAGUUCAUUCAAGACAGAAAUCAAACAUGGCUAAUAAAGAGAGGGUUAGAAAGAAUCAUUUAUUGCAUUGAUUAAUUUAGAAAGGUGGCAGCCCCAUAAACAGAGUAGCCAGGCAGCAGUGACCAUUCCAUAGACAGAAUGGCAAGAAAGUCAAAAGGCAAACAACAUAUUUAUAUAGUUGUGGAUCAGGAAUUUGCAUAUUUGUAGGUUACAUAACAAUAUUCAUGAUUACAUUGCAAUCUCUUACUGUGCCUGCACCAUUUGGCACAUGGUCAAAAUUGUGUCUAAAAUUGUGUUAGGUCUCCCUCCUGAGCAUGUCUUUAAUAUGGAAAUGCAUUUAAAUGAGGUUCCUGGUUACUUUCAGUCAAGGGCUUGGUCAGAUCUGCUUGCAUGAGUUUGAUAUUUUCUUGUUAUUUAUUUUAAACAACCAAUGUAGUUGGGAGGCUUUUUCCUAUUCAUCUUAAGCAUAAAGCAUAUAGUCCCUUCCUAACACCAGCUUAAUUUUUUUUUUUUAAACCAGAGAUUGAUUGCCUACCUCUGGAGGCACUUAACUACUUACUGAGUCAUAUCUCCAGCCCUUUUUAGUUUUAUUUUUUAAUUUUGAGAUGGGUUUCACUAAGUUACUUAGGGCCUCACUACAUUGCUGAGGCUGGCUUAGAAUUUGCAAUCCUCCUGCUUCAGCCUCUUGAGCCACUGGGAUUACAGGCAUGCACAACCAGCUUAAACUUUAACCCUAUACUCCUGCCUUAAAAAGUCUGAAAUUAGUUGCACUGGACUAAAGUCAAGGUGUCAACUUGGAAGUUUUCUUUUGGAAACUCUACACAAGAAUCUGUUUCCCUGGUCCCAUCAGCUUCCAGUUUCCAUACGUUGGUUUGUGGCCACUUCCUCUCUCUUCAAAGUUCAUUGCUCAGAUCUCUACUUAGAUCAUCUUUUGCAAUCAAAUCUCCCUCUUUCUCUGUAUCAAAAUGAUAUUUAUGAUUACAUUUAGGGUGCACCCAAAUAAACAGGAAUUGCCCCACUCCAAGAUCCUUUACUUAGUCAUAUCUGCAAAAUUCUCUUUCACUACAUAAUGUAAUACUCUUAAAUUCCAGGGAUUAAGACAUUUCAGGUCCAUUACUCAACCUACAGCAAUAUCUGCAAGUUGACCUAACAAUUAAUGUUAGCCAGAAAUACCAGAUUCCUUCUUUGCAUAGGUAAAAAAGGUAAUGGUAGUUCCAUCUUUACCCUGGCUUCUCUCACUUUACUUCAUGACCAGUAAAAGGAAGUGAGGUAUAUACCAUUUGCUAGUCCCAUUAGGUAGUACUUAGAAUCUGACUCAGAAGAAAGCACCUCAUAAAAUUAUUCUGACCAGUAAAUCAUAUCCUGGGGACCAGGUGAGAAUUAAAAAGCUGUAUACUAGUGAGCUGCCAAAGAACUGAAGGUAUUGAAGUCACAUGGAGCUUAGUAAUUUAUUCUUUAGUUAGAAAAUGUGCAUAAAAUUCUCUUGGAAAGAAAAUCAUAUUUUUAUGUUGAAUCAAAUUAUUCUGAAAUCUGAAACGAAGCAAACAUACAAACACAUUUGCUUAAUGUCAGAUUUUUAUUUUGCUACAUUUUCCUAUAAGGUAAUUUUUACAUAAUCACUGAACCAGCUGGAGUCGAAUGCUUGGAUUUUCAGGGCUGAUAAAAGCAGAGUUCAGAUUCUGUCCUUGAGCUCAGAGCCUUGAGAAAGCAGCUGCAAAAUGCAGUUUCCCCAAUUCAGAAGCUUUCAGCAGUGAGGGAGAUGGCAUUUUAAAACUCUAAUAAACUCAUCCGUAACUUUGCUCUCGAGGAUUAAGAAAACCAAAGGAGUCAAUAGUGACUCAGCAAUUUCCACCUCCUCUUGAGCCAAUGCACUGCAGCUAAACUGGAGAAAGGGAUUCAGAACUCACACCUCUCUCAGCACUGGGGUGGCUCCCUUCCAAACCACCAGCUGUUCUUUCCGCUUUCUUUUCUAUUUUCUAAAGCACAGCCUGAAUCAAAUGCUUCAGAAUCACAUACACUAACUCUCUUUUUCCUUGUUCCGAACACACAUAUAACCUCUGUUCUGAGGCCAACAGUUGCAAAGAAUGGGAAAGGUUAAUAAGUAAAUCCACUCAUGCCUGCCAGAAAGCUCAGCUGUACUGGGCAGCUCUGGAACCUUCCUUUCUCCUUGCAGAGAGAAACAAUGCAGCAGCUGAACAAAGAGAAGGCACUGUCAUACUCAGUGGCUUCAGUUACAAGCUGGGCAAAAAUUCCAUUUCACAGAAUUGAAGAUAAUUUGGGGUCAUUACCGAUUCUCAGCAACUCAAAUUCAAUCCCUGUUGAUGGUGAGCAUGAGGUUCAUUUUGAGAAAAGAAAACUGUAUUCUGUUGAAGUAGGACAAAGAGGCUGGACACCUGAGGAAUUUUCAGGAAGCAGGUUUAUUGACUGCAGGGUUCAUCAGAGGUGGCUCUUGCCUAAGAAUUCUUCUACUGAACAAUGUGUACAGAAAUUCUUAGAACUUUAUACCCAGUAGUGGGGGGUGCUGGGAGGUUUAUAUAACGAGCGUGUUUUGUUCUAUUCUGCAGACAGGUUUCACGAGCUUUUUUUUUUUUCCUGUAAACCGUGCAUUUGCCAAAAAUGAGAAAACUACCGACCCCCAUACCCUUCUGCACGGAGAAGUUUUCGCUGAUAGAAAACGUUCUGAAGAGGAACUUAUAUAUUACAAAUAUAGUAGGGGUUUCUGCUUAAUUAGGGUAAGGGUCUUCUGGGUGGGAGUCUCUGGCCAGCUUCACUGUAGAGAAUGAAAAUGUUGGAUGAUCUCUGCCACUUUCCUCCAAAAUACCAUUCCAAACAGCACAGUGCUGCUGGGAACAAAUCUGAUUAUAACUUGGUGGGGUUUUUGUGUGAUGAUGAAUUUUCAAAUAUACAAAAAAUUUGCGGGGGCUGGAGACAUAACUCAGUGGUAGAGCACAUGCUUAACAUAUGUGAUGCCGGGUUCAAUCUUCAGCACCCCCCACCCCAAAAACUGUGUCUGAAAGCAAAAGAAUAAUUUCACUUUCAUUGCUUUCUAGGUCAUAACAUUUCACAUUCAAUAUUCCUUCUAAAUAUAGACACUGUUGGCCUGAUCAUCGCUCACACAUCCAGGCAUGUUACAUCUAGCUCAUCCUUCCCCGAGCUGCCAAGAACUCUGGAGGGCCUACCCUCCACCCACAUCCAUCCUUCUUAUAUCUUCUAAAGAAAUGUGCUCAGAUGGUGGCAUUUCACUCACCCAGCGAGGCUGCACUUUGCUUAUCCUAAACUAAAAUCAAUUGGUGUUUAAGUUAGAGCAAAGGAGGCUCUAACCCCACUUAGCAAACCCUAUAUGCACUCAUAGUAGAAGCUGGCUAUAAGUGAAAAACUAAAUCAAUCCACAGACAGCUACUGAAUACCUUCCAUGGUUCAGGGCACAGGGUACAUAGAGAACAAGACUGCCAUAGUCCCAGCUUUCAUGAAAUUUAUAACAGAACAAGGAAGCCAGUGACAGACCUGUGACAAAACUCACAGGUGUGUUAAAUACUGCAAGAGUCAAUCUCAGGUCUUGGAUGGUGGCAGUAAGGAACCAAGAUGCUACAAAUCUGUUGUUUCUUCAUCAGAUUGCCCAGAGGACCAUAAAUGCUGCAGGCAUUUUGAAAAUAAAGUUCCAUAGAAACAAAAGCUGUUUUAGAAGGAUAAUGGAAUUGUAGUACAUCCAAAGGGCGAGGAAGAGCUGAUACUUUCCUGUAUAGAGCCACUGUGGUUCUUACAGCUGGUAGAAUAGCAUGUGCCAUGUCAGCUGACUGUGGACUCAUUUCAUAAGAGGCUUGUGACUUCAGUCAUCCUAGUACACUUGGUUCAGUUUCACUCUCUAUGGCCUUGGGAAUCAAUAUUUAUUGACAUUUACUAACUAUGAUCAAUAAGGCAGUAUUUACCAUGGGAGGGGGGAGGGUAAAUUUCAAGGGAUCCCCCAUGAUCUGCUUUAUUGAGAAAUCUCUUAAACUUUUCCCUUCUGGGUAUAAAGUUAAGAGAUGUCAAUCACAAUAGGCUCCAUUGUGCCAUUGUGAAAAAUUAUGGGCUGAGACAUCUCCUGAAAGCCACCCCUACCUUUCAACUUCAUUUUCACAUAUCCUCACAGAUAUAAGUAUAAAUACACAUGUGCUCCAUAGAUGAGCCAGAUAACGUAGGUUUCUGCCUGCAGCAAGGCUAGUUUGGAGAGAGCUUUCUGGCAAAGAUUUUGCUGUGAUUUUAGAUGCACAUACAUUUUCCCAGUUUCUUUUUUUUUUUCUAGGAUAUGGAGGGAGAAUGGAUUCCCAAGCUUAGGGAGAUUGCAAUCUAGGCCCAGCAAGAUCCUUCUAAUCUGGACUUAAACCAUCUUCCUCCCAAGAACUUCCAGAUGGAACUAGAAUUAAAGAGCUUAUUCUUGAGAUGAGAUAAGCAAAAAUAAGCCCAUAAUCAACCAAGUACCACUAAGGGUAUUGAUUAAAUAGAAGUCUUUAAAAUUUAUACAAAAUACAUAGUCUUUCCUACAUGAUUUACAUGUCAAGACAUAGCAAAGAUAUUGUGUCUGGAACAUCAUAUUCAAACAUGUGACCAUGCAGAAAUUCUUACCUUUGUAGUCAGUCAGUGUUGGGAAAUGUUCUUUAUAUCCCAAUAAUGGUGGCAUUUAUGUCUCUGUUACAUGCAGUACAUUUCUGGAUUUGGGAAUGAAUGUGCUUCAGAGGACCCUCGAUGUCCAGGUUCCUUGCCUGAAGGACAGGUAUGAGUGAAUAAAAUUCUUAGAGAAUACUAACUCAUGGGCUUGGAUGACCAUCCCUCAGGCCAAAAGGCCUCCACCCAACAAAGUUCUUCUAAUCUAGCAGGUAAACUGUUUGGAAGCUUCACAAAUUAUUAGGAAAAAUGGAAUAUAGAACAAUGACAAUACAAAAAUUCAACUUGGGGACUGCUGGUUAUUACCUAUGGCAAAGUACCCAACUCAAACUAGUAAAAUUAGCUGUAGGAUUUCCAGGAGAAACCCCAACAUCCAGGGGUAGGGGUCUUUUCUUCUAGUUCCUUUGAACAGCAGAAGAUAUGACAAUGAUGAGAAAAUAAGUUAUUUUAGAAAUAUAUGUACAAAGACGUUUGUACCAGUGUUGGUUAUAAUUGCAAAACUACAGUAAACAAAAUUCUCUCAAAACUUUUUGGAGAAUAUUUCAUGGCACACACACACACACACAAAAUGCUUUUGAUAUAUUAUUUCCUUAAAAAAAUAAAAGCAAGUCCUGAUUAUCACAGUUACAGGUAUCAUAAGAUCCUCAUUUUUGGAGGAUAAGAAUGAAAAGAAAUACACUUACAGAUUAACAUUGGUUAUUUCUGAUUGGUGAGAUAAUGGGUGAUUUUAGAUUUCAUAUUUAAUAAAUUUUCUACAAUAAGCAUAUAUUACUUUUAUAAUCAGGGGGACAUUUACAUAAAAAGGUAUUACAAGAAAUAUUAAUGACUUGGGGUGGUCAUGUGCAGUCGCCCAGAGUCUCCCCAUUCAGGAAGGAUUCCCCCACUGAACUGGUUGGUGGAAAGGUUUAGGGGGAUGCUUUUUGGAUUUGAAUGACAUUGUUUAUUGCCUCUUUUGGUUUUAGAAUAAUCCUCAAGUCUGCCCCUACAAUCUGUACGCUGAGCAGCUCUCAGGAUCAGCUUUCACUUGUCCCCGGAGCACCAAUAAGAGAAGGUACGAGGAUGAGAUGAAUUCUGACCUGCAGACAGUGGGAACUAUGACCAGGACCUUGUGCCACCUCCCCUACCAGGGUCAUGGAUCCUUCUUCUUUUAGGCUGUGCUGGGUUACAGGUAGAGGGGAAUGGGCCUUGUUCCCAGUUGGAAUCAAGUGACUGGUGGGAGAUGGUGAGGGAACAAACUACACAGAAAACCCAAGUCCAGUUCCACUUACAAAUUCUCACCAGUACUCAGAAGGAAGUGUGUUUUUCUUCUUUUAAAAUAAAAUAUGUCUAAUACUCUG